Molecule: ribosomal RNA, 206 nt
Filed under: uncultured bacterium
Lineage: Bacteria
Description: partial 16S ribosomal RNA
Rfam family: Bacterial small subunit ribosomal RNA
Source: RNAcentral
AGCGCAGGUGGUUUAUUAAGUCUGGUGUAAAAGGCAGUGGCUCAACCAUUGUAUGCAUUGGAAACUGGUAGACUUGAGUGCAGGAGAGGAGAGUGGAAUUCCAUGUGUAGCGGUGAAAGGCGUAGAUAUAUGGAGGAACACCGGUGGCGAAAGCGGCUCUCUGGCCUGUAACUGACACUGAGGCUCGAAAGCGUGGGGAGCAAACA